RNAcentral lists this long non-coding RNA (1336 nucleotides) under Homo sapiens (human). RNAcentral's name for it is "PREDICTED lncRNA (TCONS_00163774)". The record is from RNAcentral. Lineage: Eukaryota; Metazoa; Chordata; Mammalia; Primates; Hominidae.
GGCACUUGCAACUUUAUUGCGCCAGCAAGAACAUGCAUACAGCCCAGUCUAACGUACAGGAUCAAAAAGAGACCUUAUUUCGGCUGGCAAUUACCUUACCCGCUUGUUCAUUAUCUGACUCCUGCACUCCUCCCAAGUGUUCAAUGUUAACCAGAUGGCAAAGUUAACCAGACAGAGGAAAUCCACAUAAUUACUCUAGAUGAAGCCCCCUAACUGCGGAUUAGAAGGAAAAGAGAUGAAGGGUGCUGCACUAAUAAUAACAACCAUUUUCAACCAAGGCAGGAUUCUGGGCCUAGAAUCUUCAGUGACAAAUUACCAGGAGAGGAGGAGGGAAAUGAAGAGCUGGAGGCCUAGGGAGAUGGUGUGAGGAGAGGAGACUGUGCCUUUCCACUUCUUAAUAAUUAAUGUUCUCCUGCUGCUCUGAGUCUGCAUCACCAGUGAUUCAGUUUGAGUCAGACAUCCAACAACAACUGAGCAAAAGAAUCAUCUCAGAUCCAAGCAAUGGUGACGCGCAGAUAGAAGAGACUGAGGCCAACGACCAAAGCAAAGGACAGCAGAACUGACUGACACAGCUCAGAAAAUAUCCAAAGCUCUGUAUGCUCUGGAAAGGAAGACAAGAAAUGCUAAAGACUCUGGAUAUUGCUCUGUUUCUAUAAGGUCCCACCCAUAUACCAUCUCUUCUUUUGGAUUUCCUUUGGCAGGGUUCCCUUGUAUGGAAGUUCUCAGGAGAACAACACUCUCAGAGUCCCACUGUCUCAAAGAAUUCUUAAUGGACAGGUAUUUUUAAAGAAGUCAGGGUUAUCCACAGCUAUGUACAUAUAAUACCAAAUCAGAUCAUUUAUUCUGUACCUGAGGCAAAAAAGCUUCUGAUUCCUGAAUGGAUUUCUUCACUGGUUCUUCUGGGGGAUGAGAGAGAGAAACCAUUUACAAAGCUGAAGGAGAGCUAAGUCCACCCCUACACUGGCUGAGUUUCUUUGUAUAACAACUGUUCUCCCUUCCUAUUUUCUUCAAUUAUCUCUUCUUUCCCCAGCUAUACUUGGCCCCAAGGUUUCAACCUCACACUGAAGAAAGUGACAUAAGAAAACACAAGUCCCAGUGCUAUCAGGGGCUAUCUGGAAAAGCUGCUUAAACAGCAAGUGAAAGAAGGCUCUCCCCUACCCCGUUCUAGACUCACCCUGAAGUUAUUUGAAGGAUCCUUGAGACUCUUUUGGAUUGCUGCUUGGAGAACAUUCCUGUAACUUGUCCCUGCUCCUUGAACUAUAAAAGCAGAAGGGAGGUACUGAGUUAAAACUUACAAAUUAUUAUCAAAUAAAUCUUCAAUAGUGGUUCAGUCCAA